This 408-nucleotide ribosomal RNA is filed under the name uncultured Eubacteriales bacterium. RNAcentral describes it as "bacterial SSU rRNA". It matches the Rfam family "Bacterial small subunit ribosomal RNA", at positions 355 to 776 of the family's 1533-position model. The record is from RNAcentral. Lineage: Bacteria; Bacillati; Bacillota; Clostridia; Eubacteriales.
UGGGGAAUAUUGGGCAAUGGGCGCAAGCCUUACCCAGCAAUGCCGCGUGAAUGAAGAAGGUCUUCGGAUUGUAAAGUUCUUUAGUCAGGGACGAAAAAAAUGACGGUACCUGAAGAAUAAGCCCCGGCUAACUACGUGCCAGCAGCCGCGGUAAUACGUAGGGGGCAAGCGUUGUCCGGAAUGACUGGGCGUAAAGGGUGUGUAGGCGGUUUGGCAAGUUGGAAGUGAAAUACCUAGGGCUUAACCCAGGUGCUGCUUUCAAAACUGUUAGACUUGAGUGCAGGAGAGGUUAAUGGAAUUCCUAGUGUAGCGGUGGAAUGCGUAGAUAUUAGGAGGAACACCAGAGGCGAAGGCGAUUAACUGGCCUGUAACUGACGCUGAGACACGAAAGUGUGGGGAGCAAACAGG